CUGGUGGGUAGUUUGACUGGGGCGGUCUCCUCCCAAAGAGUAACGGAGGAGCACGAAGGUUAGCUAAUCCUGGUCGGACAUCAGGAGGUUAGUGCAAUGGCAAAAGCUAGCUUGACUGCGAGAGUGACGGCUCGAGCAGGUACGAAAGUAGGUCAUAGUGAUCCGGUGGUUCUGAAUGGAAGGGCCAUCGCUCAACGGAUAAAAGGUACUCCGGGGAUAACAGGCUGAUACCGCCCAAGAGUUCAUAUCGACGGCGGUGUUUGGCACCUCGAUGUCGGCUCAUCACAUCCUGGGGCUGAAGUAGGUCCCAAGGGUACGGCUGUUCGCCGUUUAAAGUGGUACGCGAGCUGGGUUUAGAACGUCGUGAGACAGUUCGGUCCCUAUCUGCCAUGGGCGUAGGAAAAUUGAGAGGGUUUGCUUCUAGUACGAGAGGACCGAAGUGAACGCACCGCUGGUGUUCGGGUUGUGAUGCCAAUUGCAUUGCCCGGUAGCUACGUGCGGGAUAGAUAAGUGCUGAAAGCAUCUAAGCACGAAACUAGCCUCGAGAUGAGUUUUCCCUGAAGAGAUUCAGUAAGGUCCGUUUGAGACUAAGACGUAGAUAGGUCAGGUGUGUAAGUGUAGUGAUACAUUGAGCUAACUGAUACUAAUGAACCGAGAGUCUUAACCUUACAACUC
Molecule: ribosomal RNA, 675 nt
Filed under: Gilliamella apicola
Lineage: Bacteria; Pseudomonadati; Pseudomonadota; Gammaproteobacteria; Orbales; Orbaceae
Also listed under: 1 other name
Description: bacterial LSU rRNA
Rfam family: Bacterial large subunit ribosomal RNA
Source: RNAcentral